UGCAAGUCGAGGGGUAACGGAAGUAGCUUGCUACUAGACGACGACCGGCGCACGGGUGAGUAACGCGUAUGUAAUCUGCCUUGUACAGAGGGAUAGCCCAGAGAAAUUUGGAUUAAUACCUCAUAGUAUUACCGAAUCGCAUGAUUUGGUAAUUAAAGCUCCGGCGGUACAAGAUGAACAUGCGUGACAUUAGCUAGUUGGUAAGGUAACGGCUUACCAAGGCUACGAUGUCUAGGGGUUCUGAGAGGAUGAUCCCCCACACUGGUACUGAGACACGGACCAGACUCCUACGGGAGGCAGCAGUGAGGAAUAUUGGUCAAUGGACGCAAGUCUGAACCAGCCAUCCCGCGUGAAGGAUGACUGCCCUAUGGGUUGUAAACUUCUUUUAUAUGCAAAUAAACCUACUUUCGUGAAAGUAGCUGAAGGUAGCAUAUGAAUAAACACCGGCUAACUCCGUGCCAGCAGCCGCGGUAAUACGGAGGGUGUAAGCGUUAUCCGGAUUUAUUGGG
RNAcentral lists this ribosomal RNA (509 nucleotides) under uncultured bacterium. Its description in RNAcentral is "bacterial SSU rRNA". It matches the Rfam family "Bacterial small subunit ribosomal RNA", at positions 56 to 558 of the family's 1533-position model. The record is from RNAcentral.